UCCCUGGUAGUCCAGCGGCUAAGACUCUGCUCUUCCAAUGCAGGGAGCCUGGGUUUGAUCCCUGUUCAGGGAA
This is a transfer RNA of Ovis aries (sheep), 73 nucleotides long. It matches the Rfam family "tRNA". From Rfam's summary of the family: Transfer RNA (tRNA) molecules are approximately 80 nucleotides in length. NCBI's taxonomy places the organism in Eukaryota, Metazoa, Chordata, Mammalia, Artiodactyla, Bovidae. The record is from Rfam.